RNAcentral lists this long non-coding RNA (594 nucleotides) under Scleropages formosus (Asian bonytongue). RNAcentral's name for it is "lncRNA (ENSSFOG00015028402.1)". The record is from RNAcentral. Lineage: Eukaryota; Metazoa; Chordata; Actinopteri; Osteoglossiformes; Osteoglossidae.
GGAAAGGGGAGGGGCGGCGGAAGUGGAGACGAGGCACAGCUUUCUGGAGGUCUUCAGGAGCUGCUUCGUCAGGGUCAGGGAGCUUGUCGAGAUUCCUGUGCCAAAGUUAUCAGAGGAGAGCAAUUACCCACCGUGUCCACCUCAUACCAUGCUUUUUUAGCAGAAAAGGUCUUCCUGCUUAAAAAAGUCACUCCUCCACCACGAGCUCCUAAAUCACACGUCAGCACACGGGUUCUGCAUGAGACGGGGGCCUCGAAUGAGCAGCAGGUCCUGGAAAUGAGCAGCAGCUGCAGAACUACAGCGGUAUGGGGAGAGAGAAGCAAUGCACGUUCCCCUGGAACAUUAGGUCCCUUCAUUUUUCUCUUCCUGUUAUCUCUUAUGACAUCACACCUGCGUUAUGUUCAUUUAAACUCACCGUGCACAUUGUUGCUUUAAAAAAAAAAAAAAAAAUUAUUUUCUCCCAUGACUAUCAUUAUACAGCAGUUACUGAUGGCCUACCGAAAAUGACCUAAAUCCUGUUUUUUGUGAUGAUGCUAAAACAAAGACUUGUGUUGUUUCGCUGACCAGGUAAAUAAAUAAUUUACGUAAAACCCA